UCCAUUGUAGCUCAGUUGGUAAAGAAUCUGCCUGCGACGCAGGAGACCUGGGUUCUAUCCCUGAGUUGGAA
Molecule: transfer RNA, 71 nt
Filed under: Ovis aries (sheep)
Lineage: Eukaryota; Metazoa; Chordata; Mammalia; Artiodactyla; Bovidae
Rfam family: tRNA
About the family: Transfer RNA (tRNA) molecules are approximately 80 nucleotides in length. Their secondary structure includes four short double-helical elements and three loops (D, anti-codon, and T loops).
Source: Rfam by way of RNAcentral